GUGUCAGCAGCCGCGGUAAUACGGAGGAUGCGAGCGUUAUCCGGAUUUAUUGGGUUUAAAGGGUGCGUAGGCGGUUUGGAAAGUCAGCGGUAAAAGCCCGGGGCUCAACCCCGGCGAGCCGUUGAAACUGACGGACUGGAGACGGAGAGAAGUACGCGGAAUGCGCAGUGUAGCGGUGAAAUGCAUAGAUAUUGCGCAGAACUCCGAUUGCGAAGGCAGCGUACCGGCUCCGGACUGACGCUGAGGCACGAAAGCGUGGGGAUCAAACAGGCUUAGAUACCCUGGUAGUCCACGCAGUAAACGAUGAAUGCCGGCUGUCCGGGACGAUUGGGUCCUGGGUGGCGAAGCGAAAGCGAUAAGCAUUCCACCUGGGGAGUACGCCGGCAACGGUGAA
RNAcentral lists this ribosomal RNA (394 nucleotides) under uncultured bacterium. RNAcentral's name for it is "bacterial SSU rRNA". It matches the Rfam family "Bacterial small subunit ribosomal RNA", at positions 505 to 898 of the family's 1533-position model. The record is from RNAcentral.